AGAGAAGGUAGACUAUGGAACGUAGGCUUUAUGAUUUUUGACCUAUGUAACAUGGUCCACUAACUCU
This is a microRNA precursor of Panthera pardus (leopard), 67 nucleotides long. NCBI's taxonomy places the organism in Eukaryota, Metazoa, Chordata, Mammalia, Carnivora, Felidae. The record is from Ensembl.